Eriocheir sinensis (Chinese mitten crab) is the source of this 2656-nucleotide long non-coding RNA. RefSeq lists it as uncharacterized. The record is from RefSeq and is a predicted model, not a curated record. The transcript has 3 exons. Lineage: Eukaryota; Metazoa; Arthropoda; Malacostraca; Decapoda; Varunidae.
GUCAGUUCAUCACCAUCUCUCGCUCCGUCCAGUUGGAACUCUAAGAAGCAUUGAAUUCUCCUCCACCAUUACACAAGCGAUCGUCUUUUGUUUCUCAAGAACCUACAAGACCAAGCAAACGAUCGUCUUCUGUUUCUCAAGAACCCACAGGAGCAAGCAAGCAAGUGUCUUUUCAUCGUCUUUUACCCCUUCAAGAUGGACUUCAGAGCUCUAUGGCAUGACGGGACAGUGUACAUGUUUUGCCCCACCAUGGUCUGAUCACUAACUGGACGCGUGAUUGCUGGCUAAUAUACGGAGUCGACGUGUAUUGCCCCACCAUGGUCUGAUCACUAACUCGACUCGUGAUUGCUGGCUAAUAUACGGAGUCGACGUCUAUUGCCCCACCAUGGUCUGAUCACUAACUGGACGCGUGAUUGCUGGCUAAUAUACGGAGUCGACGUGUAUUGCCCCACCAUGGUCUGAUCACUAACUGGACUCGUGAUUGCUGGCUAAUAUACGGAGUCGACGUGUAUUGCCCCACCAUGGUCUGAUCACUAACUGGACUCGUAAUCACUAGCAAAUAUUCGGGGUUCCUAUGGUCGAUCUCUGAGUACUGCUGGGACCUCUGAAGUGUGUGUGUCUGUGUGUUUGUGUUGAAGAAGAUGGGAAGAGAAGAGGAUAGUGUUGAUGGUGAUGGGGUGUGAGGGGUGCUGUCACAACCAUCACCACCACCCUCACCAUCACGCAUCACCAUUUGAAGCUAUAUAUAUUACGAUGAACUUCACCCAAUCUCAAGCAACUACCAAGACUACUGCAACCUCUUCUGCCGCUACUAACAUCAUGAACUUCAUCAACAAAGGCAUCAAGUCGGGUCGAACUAAACUCUCCCGAAUCAUCCACGUCAAGCCAUGCCACGGGACCGACGAGAAGAACAAGGAGAACAUCGAUAUCUCAACUCGGCAUCCCCCAUCUCGGUCCCAAUCACCUCCAUCCCAUUCCUCGCUAACAAACAGCACUGAGGACGUGUUUGAGGACUCGCUACCGCCCCCUAAGCCGCCAAGUUCGAGUCUCCAAAGGCGGUCACGCUCUCUGGAUCGCCUACCAGCCUCCGGGACUUCGAGUGGCAGAAGAAAUUCCUACUUCGAUGUCACCCAGCACACGCAUAGUCAGUCCUUAGGGUCGCCAGAGCUCGCCCCGGUUUUCACAACGACUUAUAACACGAUUUUCUCCACCAUAACCGCGGGGAAUAAUAAUAAUAAUAAUAGUAAGAGUAUGUGUAUGAAUGGUAGUAUUAAUAAGAGGAACUUUAAUGGUAAUAAUAGCAAUGUGAGUAAGAAGAAUUUGAGCAUCCUGAGUGAUAAGUUUAAGACGGCUGAGUUUGCGUUUCAGAAGUCGCCGGUGAGGAGACGAGCGAACUGGUGAAGAGAGGAGAAGAAAAUGAAACUACGCAAAACUGAAAUUGAAAAGUAAGAUCAUACUACGAAAUACGAAAUGAAAUGUGAGAUAACGACACAAAAACAAAAAAAGACGGAGUUAAAGGGAAAGUCAAGCAAAAUAAAUUGAAGGAAAAUUGAAAUGUAACAAAAUGAACAACGAAAAAUGAAAUGAGAAAUGAGAUGACUGAAUGAAAAUGGUGAGGAAAAAGUGAGAUAAAAGAACGGGAAGAAAAAGACGUGAAGUUGAAGGGAGAGUCAAGCAAAUUAAUUGAAGGAAAAUUGAAAUGUAACAAAAUGAACAACGAAAAAUUAAAUGAAAAAUGAGAUGACAGAAUGAAAAUGGUAAGGAAAAAGUGAGAUAAAAGAACGAGAAAAAAGACGUGAAGUUGAAGGGAGAGUCAAGCAAAACAAAUUGAAGGAAAAUUGAAAUGUAACAAAAUGAACAACGAAAAAUUAAAUGAAAAAUGAGAUGACAGAAUGAAAAUUGUUUUGAAAAAGUGAGAUAAGAGAACGGGAAGAAAAAGACGUGAAGUGAAAAAGAUAAGGAACCAAAAGAAACUGAACGAAAAAAAAAAAUAGAUAAAAAAAAAGACGCUAAUCAUGACCUUUAGAUUCUGAACAGACGUGAAAAUGUAAAAAAAAAAAAAAACAAAAAAAGGCAGACUUCGAAAAACUCUCCAAAUAUUUCCAAAGUCUCUUGAACUAGCCUGAACUUAAAAACGAGUGCACAUACCAAUGAAAAUACAAACUAAGAGGCUCGGUGGCUAGCAACAAACAAAUAACAUUCGAUUCUGAACGCGCUGGAAAAUAUUUAAGCAAUUCUCGAGACUUCCCAAAAUAUAAGACGUACCAUGAAAAAAUAUACAAAAUCUCCAGGCCAAUAAACGUUUCUAACUCUACAAUACCACAUUUGAGGCUGUACUAAUGAAACUACAAACAUGAGGCUCGUUUUCCAAGAGUAUAAUGUGAACCCGUUGCGAUGGCUAACUCACCAAUGACUCUGACAAUGAACAUAACUUGGGGGCGCAUACCAGUGAGUGCGUGCGUGUGUGUUAAGGUGCGUGAAGGCAUGGUAAUGUUACGUGUGUUACUGACGUGUCGAGCGUGUGAAAAUAUGUCUAUGUAUGUGAUCCAUCGAGAUAUGGUGUGUGUGUGUGUGUGUGUGUAUGUGUGUUAUGUAAAUGUAAAGUAUGUUAAUAAAGUCUGAAUGUUGUAUUAGAGUAUGAAUUAUCCUUUCUCUC